Molecule: long non-coding RNA, 548 nt
Organism: Gossypium arboreum
Lineage: Eukaryota; Viridiplantae; Streptophyta; Magnoliopsida; Malvales; Malvaceae
Exons: 2
Source: RefSeq, a predicted model, not a curated record
GCAAAGACGAAGGACUUGACGCAAAAAUUUACCAUCCGAAACACCAAGGCGCGGAUCCAGCCUAUGGAUCGGGCUUGCGCGCGAGUCUUCCCCCCCUCUACACCGCACCGUUUUAGUUUGCAAUCAAAAUUAAAGAAAAAAAUAGAAUGGCAACCUGCCAUUUUCACAAAAAACAAAUCAGAUCCCUAAUGUUAGGGCUUCAACUUGGAGACACCGCUGAACCACCAUCAAACUUGGUGGCCGACCAUGCGCAGAAGAAACACAAGCAGAGGCUAGAGGUGUGGAGGCCGUGGUGCUGCUAACAUGGCCAGGCCGUUCGUGGGCGUGUUGAUGCGGAGCGUGAAGCAACGUCGCGCGUGGAAGCUGGCACGAAGGCAGCAGCGGCACAAGGGGGAAAGGGAUCCCUAGGGUUCUGAAAAUAUUAAACUUUGGGCCUGGGCUAGUUUUUUUUGUUAUUGGGUCAUUUAAUUUGUAUUUUGGGCCUUGUUAUUUUGAAUUUUGGGUUUGGAUAUUAUUAUGGAUAUUGGACUUUAAUUUUGGUUUUUUUA